This 667-nucleotide long non-coding RNA is filed under the name Pan troglodytes (chimpanzee). RNAcentral describes it as "long non-coding RNA NONPTRT004421". The record is from RNAcentral. Lineage: Eukaryota; Metazoa; Chordata; Mammalia; Primates; Hominidae.
UAUUGCUAUGCAAAUACACCCAGAAUAAAUGAAAGAGCCACUCAGACAACCCAUUUUUGCCUCUUCCCUUAGACUUUCAAUUUGACUCCUCUCCAAUGAAAAAGGAUUUAAAGACUUCUUGUGGGGGUCACAGGAGUUCCAGGGGGGCUGUUAGGGAGCCAGCUCUGCAAGGUUGAUGCAGGGAACAAGUUGGCACAUGCUGUUUUAUGUCACGGAAGAGUGACAACCACCAAGAAGCCUAUCGAGCCAGUUAUCGACCCGUAAGGAGUGAUGAGCACAGGACACCCCUUACCUGAAGCCAGCAUCUCAACACCCAUGUGCAGAAGUCCAGUUAUCUUCAUCCAGGAGAUGAGAAGACGAGUUGAGGCUACAAGGCAUGUUUCAGCGGGCUCAUCUAUGCAGCACAGCUUGAGCGUAGUGCAGAUCUUCAGAGCAUACAGCUCAAACGAAGAAGGUACGGGCUGCUCCUGUGUGUACCGAAGAUGGGAGAAGGGUAGGAACAGAGCAUCAGGAGAGGACUCCCUCUUCCACUCUUCCAUGAUAGCCACAUUCAUGCCUGUAUAUGGAGACACUGUUUGUUGCUCACUACUGGGAGACAUUUCAGCACCCUGCCUUUUCCCCUACGACAAAGUCUACACCUGCUGGAGUAGAGGACAGAGCUGUCCGA